GACGAACGCUGGCGGCGUGCUUAACACAUGCAAGUCGAACGGAAAGGCCCUGCUUUUGUGUGGUUCUCGAUUGGCGAACGCGUGAGUAACACGUGUGUAACCUGCCCUUGACUUUGGGAUAACUUCAGGAAACUCGGUCUAAUACCCGAUAUGAUCUCCUGCUGCAUGGGGUUCAUUGGAAAGUGUCGGCGGUUGUGGAUCGACUCGCGGCUUAUCAGCUGCUUUGUGAGGUAGUUGCUUACCAAGGCUUUGACGGGUAGCCUGCCUGGGAGGGUUGCCAGGCACAUUGGGCCUGAGAUACGGAGCAGACUCCUACGGGCGGCAGCAGUGGAGAACAUUGCACAGUGGGCGGAAGCCUGAUGCAGAAACGCCGCGUUCGGGAUGACGGCCUACGGGUUGUAAACAGAUUUCGAAUGUGCCGAAGCGUGAGUGACGGUAAUGGGUAAAGAAGCAACGGCUAACUACGUG
RNAcentral lists this ribosomal RNA (468 nucleotides) under uncultured bacterium. Its description in RNAcentral is "partial 16S ribosomal RNA". It matches the Rfam family "Bacterial small subunit ribosomal RNA", at positions 28 to 507 of the family's 1533-position model. The record is from RNAcentral.